Long non-coding RNA from Felis catus (domestic cat), 691 nucleotides. RefSeq lists it as uncharacterized. The transcript has 3 exons. Lineage: Eukaryota; Metazoa; Chordata; Mammalia; Carnivora; Felidae. The record is from RefSeq and is a predicted model, not a curated record.
CAGAGACGGCUCACGCAUGCGCCCUGGGCGAGGAUCGGAGCCUGACUGCUCCUCCCAAGGGACACCUGGAGAAGCCUUGGAGCAGUUUUCGGCACCAUGCUCGCUCCGGCGCCUGGACGCCCUGGUGUUGGCGCUUCCAGAGGACGGGUCGGUUCCCUGUCCCACUCGCUCUCCCGGACUGUCCCUUCCAUUUGAAUGUGUUCGGUGAAGACAGCUUGUCUCCCCUGCUCUGAGCCCCUGGUCUCCUUCCUUUUUGGGCCUAACACCGCUGACACGAAGGAAGAGGAGCUGACGGAGAAGGAGAGAGGAAGGAGGAGGCUAGCCUGGACCGUGUGGACCUGAAAAAUUUGCCGUGGGUGAAACAGAAGAAAGAUUUUCUCUCACAUGAAGAACUCUGGAGGUAGACUGCCUGAGUGCUGGUUUGGUGGUGUCUUGGCAUCACAAAGUACCCAAUGUCUUCUCUUUCUACUCCAACUAAGUGCUAGGAAUUUAGCACUGGUUUCCUUCUUCAACCUGCAUCAUGAUCCAAGAUUCCUGCUCCAAGUACAAAGAUCCAUGGCCUGUGGUAUAAGAAAAACAUACAGGGGCGCCUGGGUGGCUCAGUCGGUUGAGCGUCCGACUUUGGCUCAGGUCAUGAUCUCACAGUACGUGGGUUUGAGCCCCGCGUCAGGCUCUGUGCUGACAGCUCAGA